RNAcentral lists this ribosomal RNA (426 nucleotides) under uncultured bacterium. RNAcentral describes it as "bacterial SSU rRNA". It matches the Rfam family "Bacterial small subunit ribosomal RNA", at positions 917 to 1344 of the family's 1533-position model. The record is from RNAcentral.
GGGCCCGCACAAGCGGUGGAGUAUGUGGUUUAAUUCGAUGCAACGCGAAGAACCUUACCAGGGUUUGACAUCCUGCGAAUCUCUUGGAAACAGGAGAGUGCCUUCGGGAACGCAGUGACAGGUGGUGCAUGGCUGUCGUCAGCUCGUGUCGUGAGAUGUUGGGUUAAGUCCCGCAACGAGCGCAACCCACGUCUUUAGUUGCCAGCAUUUAGUUGGGCACUCUAGAGAGACUGCCGGUGAUAAACCGGAGGAAGGUGAGGAUGACGUCAAGUCAGCAUGCCCCUUAUACUCUGGGCUACACACGUGCUACAAUGAUUAAGACAAAGAGUUGCAACCUUGUAAAAGUAAGCUAAUCUUCGAAACUUAAGCAAAGUUCAAAUUGUAGUCUGCAAUUCGACUACAUGAAGUUGGAAUCGCUAGUAAUCG